Molecule: ribosomal RNA, 440 nt
Filed under: uncultured bacterium
Lineage: Bacteria
Description: partial 16S ribosomal RNA
Rfam family: Bacterial small subunit ribosomal RNA
Source: RNAcentral
CCUACGGGUGGCAGCAGUGGGGAAUAUUGCACAAUGGGGGAAACCCUGAUGCAGCAACGCCGCGUGAGUGAAGAAGUAUUUCGGUAUGUAAAGCUCUAUCAGCAGGGAAGAAAAUGACGGUACCUGAAUAAGAAGACCCGGCUAACUACGUGCCAGCAGCCGCGGUAAUACGGAGGGGGCAAGCGUUAUCCGGAUUUACUGGGUGUAAAGGGAGCGCAGACGGCAGUGCAAGGCUGGAGUGAAAGCCCGGGGACCAACCCCGGAACUGCUCUUGGAACUGUGCGGCUAGAGUACUGGAGUGGCAGGCGGAAUUCCUAGUGUAGCGGUGAAUUGCGUAGAUAUUAGGAGGACCACCAGUGGCGCAGGCGGCCUGCUGGACAGUAACUGCCGUUGAGGCUCGAAAGCGUGGGGAGCAAACAGGAUUAGCUACCCUUGUAGUC